CUACUAAGACAGCCAGGAGGUUGGCUUAGAAGCAGCCAUCCUUGAAAGAGUGCGUAACAGCUCACUGGUCAAGUGGUCCUGCGCGGAUAAUGUAACGGGGCUAAGCUCAGCACCGAAGCCAUGGGUUCAUCCCGCCAUCGGCGUGGAUGAGCAGUAGGGGAGCGUUCUGUUUGCGUUGAAGGUCGACCGUGAGGACGGCUGGAGCGAGCAGAAGUGAGAAUGCCGGCAUGAGUAGCGUAAAACAUGUGAGAAUCAUGUUCGCCGUAAGUCCAAGGUUUCCGACGCAAGGGUGUUCCACGUCGGGUUAGUCGGCCCUAAGCCGAGGCCGAGAGGCGUAGGCGAUGGAUAUCCGGUUAAUAUUCCGGAACCACCUUAGAUGAGCGAAGGGGUGACGCAGAACGGUAGGCCAGCCGGCCCAUUGGACAUGGUCGGUGCUAAGCGCGUAGGCGUUGAGACCCGUAGGAAAAUCCGCGGGUUGAGCUGAGGCGCGAUGGCGUGGCCCAGAGCCAGAAGUGGCCUAGCCGAGCUGCCAAGAAAAGCCUCGUAGUGUUGAAUCUCAGGUGACCGUACCGUAAACCGACACUGGUAGACGAGUAGAGAAUACUAAGGCGAGCGGGAGAACCUUCGUUAAGGAACUAGGCAAAAUAGCCCCGUAACUUCGGGAGAAGGGGCGCCCUCUAGCGUGAAAUGCAAACGCAUCUAGCGCGAGGGGGCCGCAGUGAAAUGGCUCUGGUGACUGUUUAACAAAAACACGGGUCCCUGCUAAAGCGUAAGCUGAUGUAUAGGGGCUGACGCCUGCCCAGUGCCGGAAGGUUAAAGUGAGGGGUCAGCCUCCUUCGGGAGGCGAAGCUCUGAGCUGAAGCCCCGGUGAACGGCGGCCGUAACUAUAACGGUCCUAAGGUAGCGAAAUUCCUUGUCGGGUAAGUUCCGACCUGCACGAAAGGCGUAACAACUGGAGCGCUGUCUCAACGAAGGACUCGGCGAAAUUGAAGUAUGCGUAAAGAUGCGUAUUACCCGCAGCAGGACAAAAAGACCCCGGCAGCUUUACUAUAGCUUGGCAUUGCGUUUGGACUUAGUUUGUCCAGGAUAGGUGGGAGGCUGUGAAACUGGAGCGCCAGCUUCGGUGGAGCCAUCCUUGGGAUACCACCCUGACUGAGUUUAGACCCUAACCCCAGACCGUCAUCCGGCUGGGGAACCGUGCCAGGUGGGUAGUUUGACUGGGGCGGUCGCCUCCUAAAAGGUAACGGAGGCGCCCAAUGGUUCCCUCAGCGCGGUCGGUAAUCGCGCGUAGAGUGUAAAGGCAUACAGGGAGCUUGACUGCGAGACCUACAAGUCGAGCAGGUGCGAAAGCAGGGCUUAGUGAUCCGACGGUUGCGUGUGGAAGCGCCGAAGCUCAACGGAUAAAAGGUACUCCGGGGAUAACA
RNAcentral lists this ribosomal RNA (1424 nucleotides) under marine metagenome. Its description in RNAcentral is "bacterial LSU rRNA". It matches the Rfam family "Bacterial large subunit ribosomal RNA", at positions 1081 to 2479 of the family's 2925-position model. The record is from RNAcentral.